AUGAACGCUAGCGGCAGGCUUAAUACAUGCAAGUCGUGGGGCAGCAGGUUUGUAGCAAUACAGAUGCUGGCGACCGGCAAACGGGUGCGGAACACGUACAGAACCUUCCUUUGAGCGGGGAAUACGCCCAGAGAAAUUUGGAUUAACUACCCCAUAGUAUAAUGAAGUGGCAUCACUUUAUUAUUAAAGAUUUAUCACUCGAAGAUGGCUGUGCGGCUGAUUAGGUAGUUGGCGGGGUAAAGGCCCACCAAGCCUGCGAUCAGUAACUGGUGUGAGAGCACGACCAGUCACACGGGCACUGAGACACGGGCCCGACUCCUACGGGAGGCAGCAGUAAGGAAUAUUGGUCAAUGGAGGCAACUCUGAACCAGCCAUGCCGCGUGGAGGAUGAAGGUCCUCUGGAUUGUAAACUUCUUUAUAUGGGACGAAAAAAGGCUUUUCUAAGUCGUCUGACGGUACCAUAUGAAUAAGCACCGGCUAACUCCGUG
Molecule: ribosomal RNA, 488 nt
Filed under: uncultured bacterium
Lineage: Bacteria
Description: bacterial SSU rRNA
Rfam family: Bacterial small subunit ribosomal RNA
Source: RNAcentral